This 207-nucleotide long non-coding RNA is filed under the name Manihot esculenta (cassava). RNAcentral's name for it is "long non-coding RNA (MESC_LNC011714)". Lineage: Eukaryota; Viridiplantae; Streptophyta; Magnoliopsida; Malpighiales; Euphorbiaceae. The record is from RNAcentral.
CUAUAUGUACUUGUCCGACUCUCAAAGGACUUACCCAAGACUCGAUGACAGAAAUGGGCUAUUGAAGUCGCCUUGGUCCAAACCUCCUGAAUCAACAUCAAAUAAUGCAAUGCGCCAUAUUCGUGAAACUAGUGCAAUCAAUCCUAUUACAUAUAAACAUGAUGCAUGAACAUGCUUUAGGCAUUUGAUUUUAUAAAAUAAAAGAUU